Non-coding RNA from Acanthosepion pharaonis, 103 nucleotides. The record is from the annotation of a GenBank genome assembly. Lineage: Eukaryota; Metazoa; Mollusca; Cephalopoda; Sepiida; Sepiidae.
ACCAAAAUAAAAUACCGGUUCUCGUAUGAUCACCGAAGUUAAGCAAAGUCGAGCCUGGUCAAUACCUACAAGGGUGACCGCUUGGAAAUAAUGGGUGUUGUAA